AGUGAACGCUGGCGGUAGGCCUAACACAUGCAAGUCGAACGGCAGCACAGUAAGAGCUUGCUCUUACGGGUGGCGAGUGGCGGACGGGUGAGGAAUACAUCGGAAUCUACUUUUUCGUGGGGGAUAACGUAGGGAAACUUACGCUAAUACCGCAUACGACCUACGGGUGAAAGCAGGGGAUCUUCGGACCUUGCGCGAUUGAAUGAGCCGAUGUCGGAUUAGCUAGUUGGCGGGGUAAAGGCCCACCAAGGCGACGAUCCGUAGCUGGUCUGAGAGGAUGAUCAGCCACACUGGACCUGAGACACGGUCCAGACUCCUACGGGAGGCAGCAGUGGGGAAUAUUGGACAAUGGGCGCAAGCCUGAUCCAGCCAUACCGCGUGGGUGAAGAAGGCCUUCGGGUUGUAAAGCCCUCUUGUUGGGAAAGAAAAGCAGCAGGUUAAUACCCCGCUGUUCUGACGGUACCCAAGGAAUAAGCACCGGCUAACUUCGUG
This 492-nucleotide ribosomal RNA is filed under the name uncultured bacterium. RNAcentral describes it as "partial 16S ribosomal RNA". It matches the Rfam family "Bacterial small subunit ribosomal RNA", at positions 29 to 507 of the family's 1533-position model. The record is from RNAcentral.